RNAcentral lists this long non-coding RNA (479 nucleotides) under Phasianus colchicus (ring-necked pheasant). RNAcentral's name for it is "lncRNA (ENSPCLG00000013604.1)". Lineage: Eukaryota; Metazoa; Chordata; Aves; Galliformes; Phasianidae. The record is from RNAcentral.
UUACAAUGAAUGCGCCCAGUGAUGAAGAAAGUAUAAGAAACAGUAGUGGAGAGUCAAGCCAAUCAGAUGAUGAUUCUGGGUCAACAUCUGCUUCUGGAUCUGGUUCAAGCUCUGGAAGCAGUAGUGAUGGAAGUAGCAGUCAGUCAGGUAGCAGUGACUCUGAGUCUGCUUCAGAGUCAGGCAGUCAAUCAGAACUGGAGUCUGAUGCGUCUAGAGAGAAGAAACAAGUUCAAGCUAAACCACCAAAAGUUGAUGGAUCUGAGAGAUCAGUAGCGCUCAAGAAGCAACAACAGCAAAUGACAGCUUCAUCAGGCAGUGGUUCUGAAGAGGAUUUAUUGAGCAGUGAAGAUUCUACAGAUGGCUCAUCCAGUGAAACUAAGAAGAAAAAAUGUAGAGAGUAAGUUAUUUUUCAUAAAUAUAAUCAUUUUUUGUUUGUUAUGGCAAUGUAUGAUUUUGCAAUUACCCAUGCUUCACUUCUC